CGCCUGUUUAUCAAAAACAUCGCCUCUUGAAAUUAAUAAGAGGUCCAGCCUGCCCAGUGACCACAGUUCAACGGCCGCGGUAUCCUAACCGUGCGAAGGUAGCGUAAUCACUUGUUCUUUAAAUGGGGACUAGUAUGAAUGGCAUCACGAGGGUUAUACUGUCUCCUUUUUCUAAUCAGUGAAACUAAUCUCCCCGUGAAGAAGCGGGGAUAAGACCAUAAGACGAGAAGACCCUAUGGAGCUUUAAAUUUCUCUUCAAACGCCGGCUAAUUUAGUAAGUCAUAGACCCCUUCCCCCUUAACCCUAGCGCCAUGAAGACGACUUUUAGGUUGGGGUGACCGCGGAGUACAAAAAAACCUCCACAUUGAACUAGGCUCCCAAGCCCUGAGCAAAGGGCCACAACCCCAUGCACUAAAAAACUAACAUCCAUUGACCCAAUACCUUUUGAUCAACGAACCAAGUUACCCUAGGGAUAACAGCGCAAUCCACUUCAAGAGUCCAUAUCGACAAGUGGGUUUACGACCUCGAUGUUGGAUCAGGGUAUCCCAGUGGUGCAGCCGCUACUAAUGGUUCGUUUGUUCAACGAUUAAAACCCU
Molecule: ribosomal RNA, 596 nt
Filed under: Scinax sp. KAV13
Lineage: Eukaryota; Metazoa; Chordata; Amphibia; Anura; Hylidae
Description: partial 16S large subunit ribosomal RNA
Rfam family: Bacterial large subunit ribosomal RNA
Source: RNAcentral